GAUGAACGCUGGCGGCGUGCCUAAUACAUGCAAGUCGAGCGAACAGAUGAGGAGCUUGCUCCUCUGACGUUAGCGGCGGACGGGUGAGUAACACGUGGAUAACCUACCUAUAAGACUGGGAUAACUUCGGGAAACCGGAGCUAAUACCGGAUAAUAUAUUGAACCGCAUGGUUCAAUAGUGAAAGACGGCUUUGCUGUCACUUAUAGAUGGAUCCGCGCCGCAUUAGCGAGUUGGUAAGGUAACGGCUUACCAAGGCGACGAUGCGUAGCCGACCUGUGGGGGUGGUCGGCCACCCUGGAGCUUGGCCACGGUCCAGACUCCUACGGGAGGCCGCAGUAGGGAAUCUUCCGCAAUGGGCGAAAGCCUGACGGAGCAACGCCGCGUGAGUGAUGUAGGUCUUCGGAUCGUAAAACUCUGUUAUUAGGGAAGAACAAAUGUGUAAGUAACUAUGCACGUCUUGACGGUACCUAAUCAGAAAGCCACGGCUAACUACGUG
Molecule: ribosomal RNA, 497 nt
Filed under: uncultured bacterium
Lineage: Bacteria
Description: partial 16S ribosomal RNA
Rfam family: Bacterial small subunit ribosomal RNA
Source: RNAcentral